Molecule: ribosomal RNA, 388 nt
Filed under: Escherichia coli
Lineage: Bacteria; Pseudomonadati; Pseudomonadota; Gammaproteobacteria; Enterobacterales; Enterobacteriaceae
Description: bacterial LSU rRNA
Rfam family: Bacterial large subunit ribosomal RNA
Source: RNAcentral
GGGUUGUGAGGUUAAGCGACUAAGCGUACACGGUGGAUGCCCUGGCAGUCAGAGGCGAUGAAGGACGUGCUAAUCUGCGAUAAGCGUCGGUAAGGUGAUAUGAACCGUUAUAACCGGCGAUUUCCGAAUGGGGAAACCCAGUGUGAUUCGUCACACUAUCAUUAACUGAAUCCAUAGGUUAAUGAGGCGAACCGGGGGAACUGAAACAUCUAAGUACCCCGAGGAAAAGAAAUCAACCGAGAUUCCCCCAGUAGCGGCGAGCGAACGGGGAGCAGCCCAGAGCCUGAAUCAGUGUGUGUGUUAGUGGAAGCGUCUGGAAAGGCGCGCGAUACAGGGUGACAGCCCCGUACACAAAAAUGCACAUACUGUGAGCUCGAUGAGUAGGGCG